AUACGGAGGGUGCAAGCGUUGUUCGGAAUCACUGGGCGUAAAGCGCACGUAGGUGGAUCAAUCAGUUGAGGGUGAAAUCCCGGGGCUCAACCUCGGAACUGCCUUCAAUACUGUUGGUCUUGAGUCCGAGAGAGGUGAGUGGAAUUCCUAGUGUAGAGGUGAAAUUCGUAGAUAUUAGGAAGAACACCAGUGGCGAAGGCGGCUCACUGGCUCGGUACUGACGCUGAGGUGCGAAAGCGUGGGGAGCAAACAGGAUUAGAAACCCCUGUAGUCC
This 274-nucleotide ribosomal RNA is filed under the name uncultured bacterium. RNAcentral describes it as "partial 16S ribosomal RNA". It matches the Rfam family "Bacterial small subunit ribosomal RNA", at positions 523 to 796 of the family's 1533-position model. The record is from RNAcentral.